Molecule: ribosomal RNA, 254 nt
Filed under: uncultured bacterium
Lineage: Bacteria
Description: partial 16S ribosomal RNA
Rfam family: Bacterial small subunit ribosomal RNA
Source: RNAcentral
UACGGAGGGGGCAAGCGUUGUUCGGAUUUACUGGGCGUAAAGGGAGUGUAGGCGGUCGACCAAGUCCGAUGUGAAAUCCUUACCACUUAACGGAAGGGGGUCAUUGGAAACUGGUCGGCUAGAGUGAGGCAGAGGCAAGCGGAAUUCUCGGUGUAGCGGUGGAAUGUGUAGAUAUCGGGAAGAACAUCUGUGGCGAAGGCGGCUUGCUGGGCCUCUACUGACGCUGAGACUCGAAAGCGUGGGGAGCAAACGGG